Long non-coding RNA from Hylaeus anthracinus, 707 nucleotides. RefSeq lists it as uncharacterized. The record is from RefSeq and is a predicted model, not a curated record. The transcript has 3 exons. NCBI's taxonomy places the organism in Eukaryota, Metazoa, Arthropoda, Insecta, Hymenoptera, Colletidae.
UUCGAAAUCUAGGGUUUUGCUCAUCACUGGUCCAAUAGCAGGCCCAGGACGAAACGCUCCCUUACUUUUCUCCUCUUUCGCUCUCCCUCCACAAGAAACAAUCUACCAAUGAACCUACUAAAUUGUACAACAGUCACAGGUUUCCGAAGACCAGUUAAAAAAUAACUAACAUCAUCCCUUGAAGGAGCCAAAAAACGAACGAUCUACAAAAAGGCAAAACAGUAGAGGAUCCGAGGAUCCAAGACGAAAUUGUACCCCGACCGUACGGACUAAUGCAGCAGGUACUGUGACACUCGUUGGGAAACAGAAACUCUUUGGGUAACUAUAGCCAUGAAUUAUAGCAGAUCCAUGAUACCAAUCAGACGACGAACAGAUAAAAUCUUACACUUCGAAUGGAAGCAAACUCUCAAACUGUUAAAUUAGAGCAUAAAGGAAAUUAAGAUGAAAUGAAACAAAAAUUAUAAUCGUCGCAGACUCUGGUGCGUGUUAAAAGAACCUAAUAAAAUAAAUAAAAAAUAAGUAGUGAACCUACAUAAGGAUACAUACAUAAGAACCAAAAGGAUAAAUGGAUGGAAACGAAUGCUGUAUCAAUUAGAGUAUAAUAAAACUUCGAGUAUUUUCGAAGACACUCUGUAAGAGGCGCGUGACUAUCCCCACCAUUUUUUUCAGAUUAAUUGCUUGGAAGAAUCCUUGGGGGUAGGGUACCA